Long non-coding RNA from Numida meleagris (helmeted guineafowl), 2041 nucleotides. RefSeq lists it as uncharacterized. The transcript has 2 exons. Lineage: Eukaryota; Metazoa; Chordata; Aves; Galliformes; Numididae. The record is from RefSeq and is a predicted model, not a curated record.
AAAAACCUGAUGUUACUUUGCUUCAAAAGAUAUUACAGUCCUACUUCUUAAAUAGACAUCAGACAUCUAAGAAUGCUUACAAACACAUAGCAAAAAGUGAUCCUCUCAAUAAAGGGUUCCUCCUCACAACAUAUUUCCUCAGCUUAGCCAUCUGAAACUGUUUUUCACAGCUGCCCAAUUUCACGCUGCACCAGUCUAACCAAGAGAGCAAUCCAAGAACGAGGAAAAGAAACCUUAACCAAACAGUUGUCAUUAUAAUCUGCCUUGCAUUUCACAUGUGGAAAUGUCCCUGAAUUGCAGUCACAAAGAGGAAAAUGAAGCCACUACAGAGGGAGACAGAAGGAAAUUAGGAUCUAUUCCCCACUGGAAUUCUUUCAAGUGGUUAUAAUCACCUGUGAGAGGACAGAAAAAGAGACCAACUCUAGACACACAAACAGUCCAAGGCAGAAAGAAACUGAAGGAUAUGCAGUAUUAUAUAUUUCAUGUUGUAUGGGAACUGCUGAGUCAUGGCCUGAACCACUGAUUGAGCACCUGGAGGAAAGACCCAGUCAGCCCUGGGAGCACAGGUGAAGGCAAUUCACUGUGUGACCAGAAGGGGUGGAGCCUGCCUCUUAGGCCUCAUUUAAGGGCUGACUGCCCCUGAGGAAGGAUCUCUGGUUGGAGGUCCCUGCUGUGUGGAAUUUUGCCCUGUGAGCCUACAUCUUCAGAGAUAGGCAGAUGAAGACAGCAGGGUGCCUGUCUUGUUGCAGCAAUACUUCACCAAGCGGGAGGAUUACCACAUGCUUCUGAAUGGGAAAGUCUAACUGCUACAAAUACGACUGUUCAGAGACAGCUUUGGCUAUGAAGCCCUCAAGCCAGAAAGGAGAUACAAUGGAGCAAUUUUACAGCUCCCUCACAAUACUUCAUGCACUUAUCUCAAGAAGGAUUUCAGACCAAGAAGGGUUUGGUUGGCGGUUCUUUUGUCAAGGGAAAGCUCGCUGGCCUUCCCUCUAAGCGCCAGCUAUCUCAGGAAGAUGACUGCCGUGCACAGGAAAAUAUUUUUAAAUGUGUAAUGUCCACUCAGUAUAUUUACUACCACGAGUGACUCCCUGAUACAAGAGGAGUGUAAGUACUCAAUUUAUGACUGAGUUUUAAUUGCAUUGAAUGCAUUGCUGCUUCUCAGCAUCAAGAACUGAUUUGUAUGUAUUGGAUGUUUAUAGAAAGCAACUGCUGCAGGUGUUUGCAGAACUUACAUGCAAAUAAAACAGUGAUUAGUUCCUGAAGUCAAUAUCAAUCUUGAAAUGAAAUAAAUCACUUAACAGGCUUUCCUUCUAAAAUAGGAUGUAGUCACACUGAACCCAGGACAUGGAAACAUACAAAGAACAGGUGCUUCUAGCACAAAGUACCUAAGCUCUCGAUAUUCAAAAGAAACUUCUCCCUGGGCAAGUUUCACCUUUUGCAAUAUGUUAGGCCAGUAGGACUACCACUUUGCUCCAAAACAAUGCUUCCUCUACAUGCUAUGACUACUCUGCUAUGACCACUCUUGGAUAUCUGACUGCCACCCAAGGCCAGACUCAAGUUGCCAUGCUGUACCUUCCUGCUGUCAGGACCACCGUUUGCACAGGCUAAGGUCUUCUUGCUUAGGAGGAAAGAUUAAAAAAAUAAUUUAAAAAGUGCUUUUCAAGGACCAUGCCGGCCUGGUACCCAGCAGGCCGAAGCAGGGACUGUGCUGUGCCACCAUCUAGUGGGGAAUUUCAGAAGUGCUGCUGUCUUCGAUCAGUGCGCUUCCAUCUCAGCCAGAUUUCUUCUGUAAGGUUUUGCAGCAUGAAAACAGAAAAGAACAGGGUGACCUUAGCAUCUCGCUCAGGAAAGGCUCAUGAGAAUUACUCCAUCACACAUAACAUGUUUUCUUUAUUUGUCUAUUACUCAUUUCCCUAAUUACCUUGAAUUGAUUAGAGCAUCAAGCUUGCACUGGCUAGGCAAAUUGCUCAUUAAUUUCUACAGCGACGUAUUUACACAUUACUGUGGCUAUUUUAUCACUACAAUUUAACCUUGCACCAAG